This 252-nucleotide ribosomal RNA is filed under the name uncultured bacterium. Its description in RNAcentral is "partial 16S ribosomal RNA". It matches the Rfam family "Bacterial small subunit ribosomal RNA", at positions 524 to 776 of the family's 1533-position model. The record is from RNAcentral.
UACAGGGGGUGCAAACGUUGCUCGGAAUUAUUGGGCGUAAAGCGCGCGUAGGCGGCUACUUAAGUCGGAUGUGAAAGCCCUUGGCUCAACUGAGGAAGUGCACCCGAAACUGAGUGGCUUGAGUACCAAAGAGGGUCGCGGAAUUCCCGGUGUAGAGGUGAAAUUCGUAGAUAUCGGGAGGAACCCCGGUGGCGAAGGCGGCGCCCUGGUGGAUACUGACGCUGAGGCGCGAAAGCGUGGGGAGCAAACAGG